AUUGAACGCUGGCGGCAUGCUUUACACAUGCAAGUCGAACGGCAGCGCGGGCUUCGGCCUGGCGGCGAGUGGCGAACGGGUGAGUAAUGCAUCGGAACGUGCCCAGUAGUGGGGGAUAGCCCGGCGAAGGCCGGAUUAAUACCGCAUACGACCUGAGGGUGAAAGCGGGGGACCGAAAGGCCUCGCGCUAUUGGAGCGGCCGAUGUCGGAUUAGCUAGUUGGUGGGGUAAAGGCUUACCAAGGCGACGAUCCGUAGCUGGUCUGAGAGGACGACCAGCCACACUGGGACUGAGAAACGGCCCAGACUCCUACGGGAGGCAGCAGUGGGGAAUUUUGGACAAUGGGGGCAACCCUGAUCCAGCCAUGCCGCGUGCGGGAAGAAGGCCUUCGGGUUGUAAACCGCUUUUGUUCGGGAAGAAAUCCUCUGGGCUAAUACCCCGGGGGGAUGACGGUACCGGAAGAAUAAGCACCGGCUAACUACGUG
RNAcentral lists this ribosomal RNA (484 nucleotides) under uncultured bacterium. RNAcentral describes it as "partial 16S ribosomal RNA". It matches the Rfam family "Bacterial small subunit ribosomal RNA", at positions 28 to 507 of the family's 1533-position model. The record is from RNAcentral.